This 492-nucleotide ribosomal RNA is filed under the name uncultured bacterium. RNAcentral's name for it is "partial 16S ribosomal RNA". It matches the Rfam family "Bacterial small subunit ribosomal RNA", at positions 29 to 507 of the family's 1533-position model. The record is from RNAcentral.
AGUGAACGCUGGCGGUAGGCCUAACACAUGCAAGUCGAACGGCAGCACAGUAAGAGCUUGCUCUUACGGGUGGCGAGUGGCGGACGGGGGAGGAAUACAUCGGAAUCUACUUUUUCGUGGGGGAGAACGUAGGGAAACUUACGCUAAUACCGCAUACGACCUACGGGUGAAAGCAGGGGAUCUUCGGCUCUUGCGCGAUUGAAUGAGCCGAUGUCGGAUUAGCGAGUUGGCGGGGUAAAGGCCCACCAAGGCGACGAUCCGUAGCUGGUCUGAGAGGAUAAUCAGCCACACUGGAACUGAGACACGGUCCAGACUCCUACGGGAGGCAGCAGUGGGGAAUAUUGGACAAUGGGCGCAAGCCUGAUCCAGCCAUACCGCGUGGGUGAAGAAGGCCUUCGGGUUGUAAAGCCCUUUUGUUGGGAAAGAAAAGCAGCAGGUUAAUACCCCGCUGUUCUGACGGUACCCAAAGAAUAAGCACCGGCUAACUUCGUG